This is a non-coding RNA of Ochotona princeps (American pika), 132 nucleotides long. The record is from Rfam. NCBI's taxonomy places the organism in Eukaryota, Metazoa, Chordata, Mammalia, Lagomorpha, Ochotonidae.
AAAACAAAGGUGCCUUUGCCAAUAUUACAUUUCUCUUUGACAAGGCUUGAGAUUUCUAAGGGGAAUCCACUAUAAAUGGGAUCAGGGAGUUUAUUUAUAUUGUGUGCAAUUAUGUCUUAAAGAUUCAACCUU